This 341-nucleotide ribosomal RNA is filed under the name uncultured bacterium. RNAcentral describes it as "bacterial SSU rRNA". It matches the Rfam family "Bacterial small subunit ribosomal RNA", at positions 28 to 351 of the family's 1533-position model. The record is from RNAcentral.
GACGAACGCUGGCGGCGUGCUUAACACAUGCAAGUCGAACGGAACUCUUUGGAUCGAGACUUCGGUCAAGUGAAUCUGAGUUUAGUGGCGGACGGGUGAGUAACGCGUGAGGAACCUGCCUUUCAGAGGGGGACAACAGUUGGAAACGACUGCUAAUACCGCAUAAUGCAUAGAGAUCGCAUGGUCUAUAUGCCAAAGAUUUAUCGCUGAAAGAUGGCCUCGCGUCUGAUUAGCUAGUUGGUGAGGUAACGGCCCACCAAGGCGACGAUCAGUAGCCGGACUGAGAGGUUGAUCGGCCACAUUGGGACUGAGACACGGCCCAGACUCCUACGGGAGGCGAG